UGGGCGUUGUAUUUGUAUUGA
Molecule: non-coding RNA, 21 nt
Filed under: Caenorhabditis elegans
Lineage: Eukaryota; Metazoa; Nematoda; Chromadorea; Rhabditida; Rhabditidae
Source: RNAcentral